This is a long non-coding RNA of Platichthys flesus (European flounder), 938 nucleotides long. RefSeq lists it as uncharacterized. The record is from RefSeq and is a predicted model, not a curated record. NCBI's taxonomy places the organism in Eukaryota, Metazoa, Chordata, Actinopteri, Pleuronectiformes, Pleuronectidae. The transcript has 3 exons.
AGCCUGACUGAGUGCUAGGGAAUUGGGCUGCGUGUGCAUGCGCUGUUCGUAGGGAGUGGGUUGUAUGAACGGAUUUGUUUGUUUAUUGAUGUUUGUGUUUGUCUCACAGCAGUGGUCUUGUCCGGCCUGUUUGCAAACAUGCUUGUACACAAGGUGGGACCCGUCAGCAGGAGGAUUCAGGCAACCGAGAUGCAGGGGGAGACAGGGACCGCUGUCGCCAGGAGGUGCUACGGCACACAACAACAAACGACCCUUAAAAAAAAAGUGGCUUCCACCGGACAGAGUGACAGGAAAAGCAGGGAGGCAAAGAUCUUCAUCUGCACCUGAUCCUGGGACGCGAGGGCUGCUGCUCGGCCUGCACUACAUUUUAUUGAAGGAUGUUUUGAAUUGCUCUAAAAAGUGAGAGUCCAACAUGAAAGGGAACGAUGGAGGCGGCUCCAUCAGGGUGACGGUUUGAGGGUCGUCAGAUAAACAACCAUCACUGAUCAGACGCAAAAUGCAGGACGACCCAAGCGCACCCGCCCGCAGCAGCGCACACACUCACUCGGCCUCUUAUCCUUGACAGCUCUUACGCUCAUAUUAAGAUGUACUUCAGUGAUUUCAAGGCUGUUUCAGCCAUAAACUCUCAUUUAGUGGGGAAUUAGCUUGGGUCGGAGUCCUGUUACGCUACUGUGCUUAACAGCAUUAGACCAUUCUUGUGGCUUUUAAAUAACAGCAUGGAUGGAUAGUACCAUUCAAAUAAACCUCCACCAUCCUACUUCGUUGCGCCACGUGUAAUGGCCAAGCAUUCAUUGUUUUGCGUAAUUGCACUGCCAUCGUGAUGUCGUCUGAGUGCCGUGCAGAGCUCUCGGAUUCUAAUUACACAUACUUAUGGUUUGCUAUAUUACGAUGUGCUGAAGAAAAUGGAUUUAUGCAUCAAUCAUCCCAUUUCACAAUAA